AAAUUACAGGCUUAUUGUUUUUUUGUUAAUUAUGAUAUAAUUACAGUAAUUAAAGCUACUAUUUAUCCAUUUUCUAAUGACUUGUACUAUAAUAACGCUCGUCAUGUUCAACAAACACAUUUACGGACAGCUUCGUUGCAGUUCCUCAAGGAAAUUCUCCUAACAAGUUUUUAUAUGAAGGCUACACGACGAGAGCAGUAUUUGGCUGAUCAAAAGAAGUUAUUGACUCUUCAGCCUCAUAUACACCAUCAGAAGAAGUUAUGACUGCAGAGCCAGGAGUUUCAUCCCUUGCACCAAUUCGCCUCGUUCCAAACCAAUUUGAGCCGCCAAUGGACUUGCCUAUAGCUUUUCUCAAAGGUACUUGUUCUACUCAAAAUCGUCAUCGCGUUUUUAGCUUCACGAGUUGUAGAGUUAUAUGUUUCUUCCAGUGUGCAUUUGUAUUUGUCAACUCUUAUGUGUGUGUUCCUAAUCAUGUGCAUAAAGCACUCUCUCAUUUAUGGUUUUCUAUCAUUGAAUAUUUACAAUGAAGGUGUAUCCAGGUGGUAAGGUUGAUCGUUAAAAGUCUGUUUUGGUCAAAGGGUAUAUUAAAAUUUUUGGUAUCGAUAAGCAUGUGUAUGCUAUGUUUUUAUUUUAUUCUCCACGGCCACCAUGCGCAACUGACUCUUCAUCAUUUCGAUAUAAAACACACUUUUCUAUUUGGUGAUUUUGUUGAGGAAGUUUAUAUGGUGCCACCGCCCAUGUUCAUUGCUUAGAGGAGUUGUGUGGUUUUGUUUGUAGGCUGCAUAAAGUCUCGUAUGGUCUGAAGCGAAGCCUAAGAGAACGGUUUCACAAAAUUGAUGCAGUUCUUCAAGGCUACAUGACACAAUUUGGCGCUUUACAAACAUUCCUCGACAAAUCAAUGCGUAUAUUUUGUUUAUGUAGAUGAUAUUGUUAUUCUAAGA
This 941-nucleotide long non-coding RNA is filed under the name Trifolium pratense (red clover). RNAcentral's name for it is "long non-coding RNA (TPRA_LNC003910)". The record is from RNAcentral. Lineage: Eukaryota; Viridiplantae; Streptophyta; Magnoliopsida; Fabales; Fabaceae.